Molecule: ribosomal RNA, 485 nt
Filed under: uncultured bacterium
Lineage: Bacteria
Description: partial 16S ribosomal RNA
Rfam family: Bacterial small subunit ribosomal RNA
Source: RNAcentral
AUUGAACGCUGGCGGCAUGCCUUACACAUGCAAGUCGAACGGCAGCACGGGUGCUUGCCCCUGGUGGCGAGUGGCGAACGGGUGAGUAAUACAUCGGAACAUGUCCUGUAGUGGGGGAUAGCCCGGCGAAAGCCGGAUUAAUACCGCAUACGAUCUACGGAUGAAAGCGGGGGACCUUCGGGCCUCGCGCUAUAGGGUUGGCCGAUGGCUGAUUAGCUAGUUGGUGGGGUAAAGGCCUACCAAGGCGACGAUCAGUAGCUGGUCUGAGAGGACGACCAGCCACACUGGGACUGAGACACGGCCCAGACUCCUACGGGAGGCAGCAGUGGGAAUUUUGGACAAUGGGCGAAAGCCUGAUCCAGCAAUGCCGCGUGUGUGAAGAAGGCCUUCGGGUUGUAAAGCACUUUUGUCCGGAAAGAAAUCCUUGGCUCUAAUACAGUCGGGGGAUGACGGUACCGGAAGAAUAAGCACCGGCUAACUACGUG